CAGUCUGUCACUUAUAAACUUUUUUUUCUGUUUUACCGGUUUUUACAAAAUUUAUUCACUGUGAAAUCAUAAAAGUAACUGAAGUUUUUUUCACAAACGUGACAUUCAUUUGGUUCUAUGUGUAAUUCAAUUGAAAGACUGUUCUAACACGAAUAACGUGUACAGUUUUGCAGUAGGAACGAGUUUUCUUUCUCUCAGUUUGAUGGCCCAGAACGUUUGGUCCAUAUUGGUGUAUUCACCGGCUUAUUUGCCUUUAUCUGUCAAGCUAUCGGAAUUCUGGAUAAUGAUUUAUUAACCCUGAAAGUGAUUUUGCAGAAUUUAAAAAACCAGGUGCACUGUCCACAGACAACGGAUUGAUAUCGGGUACGUGUGCUGCAAAGACCUGUACUUCAAGAAUUAAGAAUAAACGAUUGGACGAUCUUGAAAAGUUGUUCUAAAAAGGCAGUCUUUCAACGCAAGCAUCUGGUUUGUAUGAAGUGAGCGACAGUUUUUCUCAGCGACACAUUUAUCCGACCCCAGCGCACGGGUGCCGUAGCGGCCGGUGUUGGAACUAAUUAAAACUGGAUAUUAUUUUAUAAAUUAAUUAAAUAAAUUAGAUUUUCAAUA
Wyeomyia smithii (pitcher-plant mosquito) is the source of this 606-nucleotide long non-coding RNA. RefSeq lists it as uncharacterized. NCBI's taxonomy places the organism in Eukaryota, Metazoa, Arthropoda, Insecta, Diptera, Culicidae. The transcript is spliced from 2 exons. The record is from RefSeq and is a predicted model, not a curated record.